Molecule: unclassified non-coding RNA, 210 nt
Filed under: Hevea brasiliensis (rubber tree)
Lineage: Eukaryota; Viridiplantae; Streptophyta; Magnoliopsida; Malpighiales; Euphorbiaceae
Source: RNAcentral
AAUUUUGUUGUCAUUGGUCAUAAAUUUUCCAUCAGUUGAAAUAUUUAGUUGUUACUCUGUCUAGGAUUGUGGGAAUAAAUAAAGUUUGCUUUUUUCUUGCUUCCCUUCUAGGUUGAUUGAACCAUGUUGUUUUCAGUGAAUUGAUUUUUUUUUAUUCCAAUUUGAUUUGGAAAUAAGUAGUAUUUCACUUAUUCUUCUUUUUCAAUCAGA